CUACGGGUGGCAGCAGUGAGGAAUUUUGCGCAAUGGGCGAAAGCCUGACGCAGCAACGCCGCGUGAGUGAUGAAGGCCUUCGGGUCGUAAAGCUCUGUCAAGUGGGAAGAACCUAUGUAAUGUUAAUAUCAUUAUAUACUGACGGUACCACUGAAGGAAGCACCGGCUAACUCCGUGCCAGCAGCCGCGGUAAUACGGGGGGUGCAAGCGGUAUUCGGAAUCAUUGGGCGUAAAGGGCACGUAGGCGGCCUGGUCAGUCAGAUGUGAAAGCCCGGGGCUUAACCCCGGAAGUGCAUUUGAUACUGUCAGGCUUGAGUAUGGGAGAGGGAAGUGGAAGUCCUGGUGUAGAGGUGAAAUUCGUAGAUAUCAGGAGGAACACCGGCGGCGAAGGCGACUUCCUGGACCAAUACUGACGCUGAGGUGCGAAGGCGUGGGUAGCAAACAGGAUUAGAUACCCCGGUAGUC
RNAcentral lists this ribosomal RNA (465 nucleotides) under uncultured bacterium. Its description in RNAcentral is "partial 16S ribosomal RNA". It matches the Rfam family "Bacterial small subunit ribosomal RNA", at positions 339 to 795 of the family's 1533-position model. The record is from RNAcentral.